GAUGAACGCUGGCGGCAUGCCUAAUACAUGCAAGUCGAACGGACUCUUAUUUGUUCCUUGUCCCCGAUCCUCGGAUUAGGGCUAUGGAACGAUAAGAGUUAGUGGCGGACGGGUGAGUAACACGUUGGUACCUACCCCUAAGUGGGGAAUAACUGCCCGAAAGGGUGGCUAAUACCGCAUAAAUACCGAAAGGUUAAAGCAUUUAUGCGCUUAGGGAGGGGCCUGCGUCCCAUUAGCUUGUUGGUAGUGUAAGGACUACCAAGGCGACGAUGGGUAGCUGGAUCGAGAGGUUGACCAGCCACACUGGGACUGAGAUACGGGCCCAGACUCCUACGGGAGGGCAGCAGUAAGGAAUCUUCCACAAUGGACGAAAGUCUGAUGGAGCAAUGCCGCGUGCAGGAUGACGGCUCGG
Molecule: ribosomal RNA, 412 nt
Filed under: uncultured bacterium
Lineage: Bacteria
Description: bacterial SSU rRNA
Rfam family: Bacterial small subunit ribosomal RNA
Source: RNAcentral